UCUUUGCGCCGCACAUCCAAGGCGCUUCAAGAUACGCGCAGUGUUGCAUCAAGAUCCGCGAUAUUCAUCAAAACCGUAGAAAAGAAAGCAUCGUUCUCUCUCCCUCCCGAUCCGACGCCGUGCGCAAAAGAAACCCGACGCCAGAUUUGGGCUACGCGAUCGGAGUAAGGUUGUUAUGUUGCAGCCGAUUCUUUCUCCUUAUUUUGAUGUGUUGAUGGAUCGAUAUGCUUUUGGAUCGACGAACCGGCCUAGGGCUUCUGAUUGUUGCAGGAAGAUCCCAAGAGUUAUCCUGCAUUCUUCAAUUUAAUCUUGUUAGACAGUGUUACUUUAUGCCGACAGAUUGUGUCUGUUUUAAGAAUACAAUGGAGAAGAUUUCUGUAGGUGAAAUUUGGUUUAAUGUCAUGCAUGCCGAACUGAAUCCAUGCACGAAUGCAAGACCAGUAGGAUGUUUCAUACCUUCUGGGUUUGCUAGUAAUGACAAAAUGCUGAAUAUCAAGCCCCAUGGGUCCCAACUGUUGUUUGUUCAUUGCUGGCGUGUCUUGGCUCAUGGAAGGGCAUCUGGCUGGAAGACUAUUGCACGACCUGCUAUCAUGCCAGUUGAGCAUUCAUCCAUGUCAGGCUCAUGGAGUGAUAGUAUUUAUGGGAUAUCCAUAUAGUCUUAUGCUGGAAAAUAGGAAAAGUUGACGAUGUCAUACAUGAAGUGAUUGAGGGUCACAAUGGGAAAUGAUAUGGAUUCAUCAAAGGGCAUUUUUACUGGAACAAUUCAGGAAGAUGGUUUUCGAGACCAAAUCGAGUCGUAGAAUGGCCACCCUUGUGGCGUCCUUUAUGACCCUCUUCUUACUUGCUUAUUCUUGAGAAAGGAGCAGUCAUAGUGUUCUUUAGAUUUUUAUCAUUUCAAGAUAUCAGAGCGCAUGCUUUUGGUUCUGCCUAUGUUCUGAUGCUGGUGCUUUGUGCAAUGUCUUCCCUGAAGGCAUGUUUUCAAUAUAUAAGAUUUUAGGUGCUCUUGGCUAGUCUUUCUGAAACGCAUACAGUUCAUGGAUUGUGAUUACUGUUAGUUGUAUUUGUAAGGAACUGUGUGCUUCUUUGUUGUCACAUGAUAAGUGAACUUUCGAAAUGUAAAUUGCAACUUUCUUUCACUUUGCAAACUUGCAACCAUCUCUCUCUCUAUCAAUAAUAUAUGCAUCUUUCCAAGGGAGGGGUAGGGCAUCUGAAUCCUGGAGCACCACCAGGUCAGUAAAAAAGACCCUCACUUCCCUGAAUAGGGAAAUAAAUGAUUUGUUGUACGGAGCUCUUAAACUGUGCAGUGACAAUGUCAUUUAACCUUGUACUUUCUUUUGUGAUGCAUCCUUGCAGGGGUACAUACCAUGAACUGGAUAACUUGCUGCUUGGAUAAGGGACAAAUGUUUCGGUUCUUUUCAUCACCCUUCAUCAUUUCUGAUGCUGCCAACUCAUGUGACCCUGAGCUACCAGUGGCAAACAUGUGUUCUACCUUAAGACCUGAGAAACUUUGGUUUAGGUAUGAUUGAUCUCAUACAGUAAAAAAAGUUGGGUCUUCGGUACAUGCAUGGGAAAGAUUGAUUUUAAAACAAGGGUUUACAUCUCACAAGAUUUAGUGUGUAUCAUCUUUUGGUUCACAUCUGCCCUUUUCAUGUGCUCCUUACCUGUACUCCACAUAAACUACUGCUCUUGCCUGGCCCAGGUUGGAAGGUCACGCACACACCACCAUCAUUUAUGUUUGACAAAUGUAGGUUAUCCAUUUCAUGAAAGCUGUGCCACUGUUUUGUUAAUCUAUCAUUCUUAGUAUUUUAUUGCUAGAACAGUGCAAUUGGAUUCUUUAUAGCAUAGCAUGACAGGAUCUCAUUAGGUGGGGAGCCGUUGUACUUGCAAAUUGUGCCCUGGACCACCAUUUUGGGACUCUUAAAAGUUGAUACUAUUAUAUUAGGUAAUCAUGAAACCCUUACUUGUUUCAUGUGAUUUGAUAAAUUAGGAGGUAGGUUAUCUCUCCAUGUUUGUUUUAGGAAGUUUAAUCUUCCCUAUAGUUGGUAAGUCACAUAAAAAUUGGAUCAUAGGAAUCAUUCAUAAGAGAAAUUUUUAUUCGAAUUCAGAAGUCACUCAUGUUCUUUCUUAUCGGGCAUGAAGGAGUGAAAUUAUUCAUAGACUGCUAUGGCUAUAAUGUACAGUUUUGCUUUCAUAAAUUAGAGUAGCUUCUAUUACAGAACACAUAUGGUUGGCAAGUUGGUUAAGGGGUACUUUUUUAAUGGCU
Molecule: long non-coding RNA, 2263 nt
Organism: Musa acuminata AAA Group (dessert banana)
Lineage: Eukaryota; Viridiplantae; Streptophyta; Magnoliopsida; Zingiberales; Musaceae
Exons: 5
Source: RefSeq, a predicted model, not a curated record